Molecule: ribosomal RNA, 377 nt
Filed under: uncultured bacterium
Lineage: Bacteria
Description: partial 16S ribosomal RNA
Rfam family: Bacterial small subunit ribosomal RNA
Source: RNAcentral
CCUACGGGGGGCAGCAGUGGGGAAUAUUGCACAAUGGGGGAAACCCUGAUGCAGCGACGCCGCGUGAGUGAAGAAGUAUUUCGGUAUGUAAACUUCUAUCAGCAGGGAAGAAAAUGACGGUACCUGACUAAGAAGCCCCGGCUAACUACGUGCCAGCAGCCGCGGUAAUACGUAGGGGGCAAGCGUUAUCCGGAUUUACUGGGUGUAAAGGGAGCGUAGGCGGUAUGUCAAGUCAAGAGUGAAAGCCCGGCGCUCAACGUGGGGACUGCCUUUGAAACUGGUAAACUAGAGUGUGGGAGAGGUAAGUGGAAUUCCUAGUGUAGGGGUGAAAUGCGUAGAUAUCAGGAGGAACAACAGUGGCGAAGGCGACUAACUGG